This 392-nucleotide ribosomal RNA is filed under the name uncultured bacterium. Its description in RNAcentral is "bacterial SSU rRNA". It matches the Rfam family "Bacterial small subunit ribosomal RNA", at positions 28 to 424 of the family's 1533-position model. The record is from RNAcentral.
GACGAACGCUGGCGGCGUGCUUAACACAUGCAAGUCGAGCGGUAAGGCCCUUUCGGGGGUACACGAGCGGCGAACGGGUGAGUAACACGUGGGUGACCUGCCCUCAGCUCUGGGAUAAGCCUGGGAAACCGGGUCUAAUACUGGAUAUGACUCCAUGACGCAUGUUGUGGGGUGGAAAGCCUUGUGCGGCUGAGGAUGGGCCCGCGGCCUAUCAGCUUGUUGGUGGGGUGANGGCCUACCAAGGCGACGACGGGUAGCCGGCCUGAGAGGGCGACCGGCCACACUGGGACUGAGACACGGCCCAGACUCCUACGGGAGGCAGCAGUAGGGAAUCUUGCGCAAUGGGCGAAAGCCUGACGCAGCGACGCCGCGUGAGGGAUGACGGCCUGGUU